GAUGAACGCUGGCGGCGUGCUUAACACAUGCAAGUCGAACGAAGCAUUUAGGACAGAUUACUUCGGUUUGAAGUUCUUUAUGACUGAGUGGCGGACGGGUGAGUAACGCGUGGGUAACCUGCCUUGUACUGGGGGAUAGCAGCUGGAAACGGCUGGUAAUACCGCAUAAGCGCACAAUGUUGCAUGACAUGGUGUGAAAAACUCCGGUGGAAUAAGAUGGACCCGCGUCUGAUUAGCUAGUUGGUGAGAUAACAGCCCACCAAGGCGACGAUCAGUAGCCGACCUGAGAGGGUGACCGGCCACAUUGGGACUGAGACACGGCCCAGACUCCUACGGGAGGCAGCAGUGGGGAAUAUUGCACAAUGGAGGAAACUCUGAUGCAGCGACGCCGCGUGAGUGAAGAAGUAAUUCGUUAUGUAAAGCUCUAUCAGCAGGGAAGAUAGUGACGGUACCUGACUAAGAAGCUCCGGCUAAAUACGUG
RNAcentral lists this ribosomal RNA (481 nucleotides) under uncultured bacterium. Its description in RNAcentral is "partial 16S ribosomal RNA". It matches the Rfam family "Bacterial small subunit ribosomal RNA", at positions 28 to 507 of the family's 1533-position model. The record is from RNAcentral.